GGACGAAUAGCUCAGGGGUAGAGCAGCCGGCUGCAGUCCGGCAGGUCACGCGUUCAAAUCGCGUUUCGUCCU
RNAcentral lists this transfer RNA (72 nucleotides) under Podospora didyma. RNAcentral's name for it is "tRNA-Cys". It matches the Rfam family "tRNA". Rfam says of the family: Transfer RNA (tRNA) molecules are approximately 80 nucleotides in length. Their secondary structure includes four short double-helical elements and three loops (D, anti-codon, and T loops). Further hydrogen bonds mediate the characteristic L-shaped molecular structure. tRNAs have two regions of fundamental functional importance: the anti-codon, which is responsible for specific mRNA codon recognition, and the 3' end, to which the tRNAs corresponding amino acid is attached (by aminoacyl-tRNA synthetases). tRNAs cope with the degeneracy of the genetic code in two manners: having more than one tRNA (with a specific anti-codon) for a particular amino acid; and 'wobble' base-pairing, i.e. permitting non-standard base-pairing at the 3rd anti-codon position. Lineage: Eukaryota; Fungi; Ascomycota; Sordariomycetes; Sordariales; Podosporaceae. RNAcentral also lists the same sequence under 1 other name. The record is from RNAcentral.